CAGUCGUACCUGCGGACAAUCAGCUUUUUGAGUGUGAUUAUGUGGAUUGUGAGGAGUUUAAUCCCCCUCAUGUUUUACGUAUUCGUGCUCUUGGGUGUACUUGCCCGUGUGGUAGGUUAACAUCAAUUUUGGUCGUCAUAAAAUGACUGGAGGAAUGUAGCUUUGGUCUCGUAUCGAAGUGUUAUAGCCUCGGUAGAUGUGAUGAUCGGGAUUGGAGGAACUCAGCACGCCGCGAAGGUCCGGGUUUUUAACCACGUACGUGCUUAGGAUGUUGGCAUAAUGGUACUUUAAUCG
Molecule: ribosomal RNA, 294 nt
Filed under: Glomus sp. (unid)
Lineage: Eukaryota; Fungi; Glomeromycota; Glomeromycetes; Glomerales; Glomeraceae
Source: RNAcentral